RNAcentral lists this transfer RNA (74 nucleotides) under Thermoplasmata archaeon. RNAcentral describes it as "tRNA-Val". It matches the Rfam family "tRNA". From Rfam's summary of the family: Transfer RNA (tRNA) molecules are approximately 80 nucleotides in length. Their secondary structure includes four short double-helical elements and three loops (D, anti-codon, and T loops). Further hydrogen bonds mediate the characteristic L-shaped molecular structure. tRNAs have two regions of fundamental functional importance: the anti-codon, which is responsible for specific mRNA codon recognition, and the 3' end, to which the tRNAs corresponding amino acid is attached (by aminoacyl-tRNA synthetases). tRNAs cope with the degeneracy of the genetic code in two manners: having more than one tRNA (with a specific anti-codon) for a particular amino acid; and 'wobble' base-pairing, i.e. permitting non-standard base-pairing at the 3rd anti-codon position. The record is from RNAcentral. Lineage: Archaea; Methanobacteriati; Thermoplasmatota; Thermoplasmata. RNAcentral also lists the same sequence under 1 other name.
GGGCUCAUAGUCUAGCUGGUCAUGACGUCGCCUUGACAUGGCGGAGGUCGCCGGUUCGAACCCGGCUGAGCCCA